CCUACGGGGGGCUGCAGUGAGGAAUAUUGCCCAAUGGACGCAAGUCUGAGGCAGCGACGCCGCGUGGGUGAAGAAGGCCUUCGGGUCGUAAAGCCCUUUUCUGUGUGACGAGAACGGACGGUAGCACAGGAAAAAGUCUCGGCUAACUACGUGCCAGCAGCCGCGGUAAAACGUAGGAGGCAAGCGUUAUCCGGAGUUACUGGGCGUAAAGCGUGCGUAGGCGGGUCGGUAAGUGGGUCGUGAAAGCGCCGGGCUAAACCGGGCGAGGACGAACUAGACUGCCGGUCUAGAGGCGGAUAGAGGGGUGCGGAAUUCCGGGUGUAGCGGUGAAAUGUGUAGAGAUCCGGAGGAACACCAGUGGUGCAAACGGCGCCCUGGGUCCGAACUGACGCUGAGGCACGAAAGCGUGGGGAGCGAACGGGAUUAGAUACCCGUGUAGUC
RNAcentral lists this ribosomal RNA (441 nucleotides) under uncultured bacterium. RNAcentral describes it as "partial 16S ribosomal RNA". It matches the Rfam family "Bacterial small subunit ribosomal RNA", at positions 338 to 795 of the family's 1533-position model. The record is from RNAcentral.